CAGUAGCCGCGGGAAAACGAGGGGGGCAAGCGUUGUUCGGAAUUAUUGGGCGUAAAGGGCGCGUAGGCGGUUUGGCAAGUUUGGUGUGAAAUCUUCGGGCUCAACUCGAAGUCUGCAUCGAAAACUGCCGGGCUUGAGUAUGGGGGAGGUGAGUGGAAUUUCCGGUGUAGCGGUGAAAUGCGUAGAUAUCGGAAGGAACAUCUGUGGCGAAGGCGACUAUCUGGGCCAACACUGACACUGAGGCACGAAAGCGUGGGGAGCAAACAGGAUUAGAUACCCCAGUAGUCCCUGUCUCUUAUAC
RNAcentral lists this ribosomal RNA (301 nucleotides) under uncultured bacterium. RNAcentral describes it as "partial 16S ribosomal RNA". It matches the Rfam family "Bacterial small subunit ribosomal RNA", at positions 509 to 807 of the family's 1533-position model. The record is from RNAcentral.